ACUUCAGCAUGCUUUACAUAACACUUCAACAUGCUGUACACCACACUUAAGCAUGCUUUACACAACGCUUCGACAAGCUUUACACCACACUUAAGCAUGCUUUACACCACACUUCAGCAUGCUUUACAGAACGCCUCGACAAGCUUUACACCACCCUUAAGCAUGCUUUACAGAACGCCUCGACGUGCUGUACACCACCCUUAAGCAUGCUUUACACAACACUUAAGCAUGCUUUACACCACACUUCAGCAUGCUUUACAGAACGCCUCGACAAGCUUUACACCACCCUUAAGCAUGCUUUACAGAACGCCUCGACAUGCUGUACACCACCCUUAAGCAUGCUUUACACAACGCCUCAACAUGCUGUACACCACACUUAAGCAUGCUUUACACAACGCCUCGACAUGCUGUACACCACACUUAAGCAUGCUUUACACAACGCCUCGACAAGCUUUACACCACCCUUAAGCAUGCUUUACAAAACGCCUCGACAUGCUGUACACCACACUUAAGCAUACUUUACAGAACGCCUCGACAAUCUUUACACCAUCCUUAAGCAUGCUUUACACAACGCCUCGACAAGCUUUACACCACCUUUAAGCAUGCUUUACACAACGCCUCGACAAGCUUAAACCACCCUUAAGCAUGUUUUACACAACGCCUCGACAAGCUUUACACCACCCUUAAGCAUGCUUUACAGAACGCCUCGACAAGCUUUACACCACCCUUAAGCAUGCUUUACAGAACGCCUCGACAAGCUUUACACCACCCUUAAGCAUGCUUUACAGAACGCCUCGACAAGCUUUACACCACCCUUAAGCAUGCUUUACAGAACGCCUCGACAAGCUUUACACCACCCUUAAGCAUGUUUACACCACAAUUCAAUAUGCUUUAUACUAAACUUCAUCAUGCUAUUUACAACACCUCAACAUGCUUAACACCACGCUUCGACAUGUUUUACACAACCCUUCGGUUCCUAAACAACCCUUUAAGCAUGCUGUACAUCACACUUCAAUAUCAUACUUAACAUCACGAUUCAACAUGCUUUACACAACCUUCAGCAUGCUUUACACCUAGCCUCAGCACCUUUUACGUCACACUUCAGCAUGCUUUACACCACUUUUAACACGCAUUACACCGCGCUUCAACAUGCUUUACACCACCAUUCAGCAUGUUUCACACCACAUUUCAACAUACUUUAUGACACCCUUCGACAAGACUUACACCACACUUCAACAUAUCUACACCACACUUCAACAUAUCUACACCACACUUCAACAAAUCUACACCACACUUUAACAUAAUUUACACCAGGCUUCUAUAUGCUUAACAGAACAUUUCAACAUGCGUUACGAUACAUAUUUCUUACACCAAGCUUCGACAUCUUUCACAGUUAAUGUCAACAUACUUUACACUGCUUUCGACAUGUAUUACUCAACGCCUUCGACAUGUUUUUCGGUUUAUUUCAUAGUGCUUUAAGAACUGUUAAUUUCAACAUGUCUAACGCCGCACUUCAACAUGCUUUACACAAAACUUCGACAUGCUUUUCAGUAUAAUUCAACAUGCUUUACUGUAUUGUAUAUUUCAACAUGUCUUGAACAUGCUUUACACCGCACAUCAGCAUACUUUAAACACGCUUCAAGAUAAUGGUGUGUUUUUAAUUUAAAAGGACUAGUUACAUAUGGUCCGUUUUCAAAAAACGUUUGCGCGUGAAAUGUGAACAAAUACAAAAUAUUGUUUCAAUGAUAAAACAUCGUUAAAAGUUCAUCUUUGUUUUACAAAAUUCAUUUCAAAUGAUUAUCUACCAAUUGUUGUUUGGUGAUUGUCUGUAACAUUGAGCAAAUAUUUCAACUUCAACAAAUCGUUGCCUACAUAAAUGCUGUGAACGCUUCUGGGAAGGAUUUUACGUGACUUUUAACAUUUUGAACUAGAUAUUGCGUCAUUAUGUAUUAUAUUGUUACAGUAUUAUAGUCAAACUUGUCUUAAGGGUGGAACCACAUUCCAUCGUACCGGUAUAAACAACGGAUUAAUCUUCAAGACUAAUCUGAAUUUAAGUAAUCAUGCUUAUUUUUUUAAAUCAAAUAUCUUGUUUAUGGCCAGAUUGGACUCGAAAUUUUCAUAAAACCAUCGUCUGCUGAGUGCAUUCCACGAAGAUUGUCUGUAUCUAACAUGAUUGGUAGGAUUUACUGAAAUGCGCUUAAUUUUGGGGUGAAAUUCUUCCAAUUUCAUGUUAAAACUUCGAGUUUAUAUAUAAAAACUUGUUAAUGACACGUUUAUCUGUCUCUUGACAUAAGUUAAGUCGGUUUGAAUCAAUAUCAAGCAAAAUAAAUACGGGUACAGAAUUGAAAUUUUGUUAUUUAAGUUGACAUUUAGGCUAUUGAAAUAACGUUUGAAAACGAUUCGAGAUGGGCAGUUUAACGCUAAAUACUGCUUUCAUGGUGACAAUGUGUCUGGUUCUUGCAUUUUGGAUAAAACAAUCAUCGUCACAGGAUCACGUGGAUUGUAACAUCACCAUGCCCAAUACCUGCCCGAACGGCUCGUGCUGUGUCAGGGACGAGUUUUACUUCACGGACACCCAGUGUAAGCCCCUAGGGGUUGUAGGCACCCAGUGCACCAUUAGACCUUCCCAGUUUGAGUGUCCCUGCCACUCGGACCUCGUGUGCGAAUCCAACAUCGAGGGUCAUAACCCAUCACUCUUCGGGAAGUGUGUCCCCCCACACGAAAACACAACGUCGGAUCCAUCCAUCGUCGGAUAGAGGCCCGAUAUAAGACAUGUGAUAACUUUUAAUUAAUUAGCUACGGGCGAUUAAGAUGUAUAAAGUGUAAGAUGUCGGUGUGAUUUUCUUAUAAAUGUUAAUACAAUCAGUGAAUAAGUUCUUGCAAUGGUUUUGUUUGUAAAUGUUUAUACAAUGUAUAAACAUUUUGAUCGAGUCAUAGUACGUUCUUCCCUCGGGACUUAUUCAUUCACAGCAUUGUUCUAAAAAGUGAUAAGUCUGUAUAAAAAAAAUCAAUAGACACUCUUCCAAGUCUACUUUUUGAUAAAUAAAAUGUGAUAAUUAUCAUAGAUCUAAAUAAAUGUGUUUAACCCAAUGCUUAAAGCGACACUCUUAUUCAGAAAUCAAUAUAAACACAUGUAUAACGAUCAUCAAUUUUGACUGAUUAGUCUUUAACUUAUAACUAAAUAAUGCAUUUAAGAAUAUUUUGUUACUUAUAACAAAAUUUUAACCGUGUAUUUAAUAGCAGAAAGCGCAACAAUAUUAAAUGACUGGUGAAUGCUAAAAGAUUUACUGUGGUCUUCUAUAGUCUCAUAAGGUUGAAGUACCGUGUUUUAUGUUCAUUUCUUUCAAAUCAAACUCGGUAUCCUUCAUAAGAACCAUUGUUUUCGACAUUUAUUCAUCUUUUUUGGAAUAUUAAAACGAUAUUACUAAUUGUGGUAAAUCUUAUGAGUUUGUUAACUUGCGCUUUAUAUCUAAUUAAAAAAUUGUGAAAUUUGGUUGCGAUCAUUUUUACAGAAAGUGACAAUUUACGGAUUGUUUUAAGCUUUGUAACCAAUAGUUUCUCGAGUCGCAUAUUUCUUCUUAAUAUUUAUAUGAUUUGAAAGAGAAAAACAAACGUG
This is a long non-coding RNA of Mya arenaria, 3616 nucleotides long. RefSeq lists it as uncharacterized. The transcript has 2 exons. Lineage: Eukaryota; Metazoa; Mollusca; Bivalvia; Myida; Myidae. The record is from RefSeq and is a predicted model, not a curated record.